AGGACGAACGCUGGCGGCGUGCCUAACACAUGCAAGUGGAGCGACGAACCAGGCUUCGGCCUGGGGCAGAGCCGCGAACGGGUGAGUAACACGUGGGUAACCUGCCCUGAUGAUUGGGACAACCCGAGGAAACUCGGGCUAAUACCGAAUGUGCCCUCUGGCCUCAAGGCCUCUGGGGAAAGGAAGCUUCGGCCUCCGCAUCGGGAUGGGCCCGCGGCCCAUUAGCUUGUUGGUGAGGUAACGGCUCACCAAGGCAACGAUGGGUAGCUGGUCUGAGAGGACGACCAGCCACACUGGGACUGAGACACGGCCCAGACUCCUACGGGAGGCAGCAGUGGGGAAUCUUGCGCAAUGCGCGAAAGCGUGACGCAGCAACGCCGCGUGGGGGAAGACGGCCUUCGGGUUGUAACCCCUUUCAGCAGGGACGAAGCGAAAGUGACGGUACCUGCAGAAAAGCACCGGCUAACUACGUGCCAGCAGCCGC
RNAcentral lists this ribosomal RNA (484 nucleotides) under uncultured bacterium. Its description in RNAcentral is "SSU rRNA". It matches the Rfam family "Bacterial small subunit ribosomal RNA", at positions 26 to 518 of the family's 1533-position model. The record is from RNAcentral.